Molecule: ribosomal RNA, 428 nt
Filed under: Trichoderma sp. MX13
Lineage: Eukaryota; Fungi; Ascomycota; Sordariomycetes; Hypocreales; Hypocreaceae
Description: eukaryotic LSU rRNA
Rfam family: 5.8S ribosomal RNA (bases 73-225)
Source: RNAcentral
CCAAACUCUUUCUGUAGUCCCCUCGCGGACGUUAUUUCUUACAGCUCUGAGCAAAAAUUCAAAAUGAAUCAAAACUUUCAACAACGGAUCUCUGGUUCUGGCAUCGAUGAAGAACGCAGCGAAAUGCGAUAAGUAAUGUGAAUUGCAGAAUUCAGUGAAUCAUCGAAUCUUUGAACGCACAUUGCGCCCGCCAGUAUUCUGGGGGGCGUGCCUGUCCGAGCGUCAUUUCAACCCUCGAACCCCUCCGGGGGGUCGGCGUUGGGGAUCGGGAACCCCUGAGACGGGUCCCGGCCCCGAAAACAGUGGCGGUCUCGCCGCAGCCUCCCCUGCGCAGUAUUUGCACAACUCGCACCGGGAGCGCGGCGCGUCCACGUCCGUAAAACACCCAACUUCUGAAAUGUUGACCUCGGACAGGUAGGAAUACCCGC